AGAGUUUGAUCCUGGCUCAGGAUGAACGCUAGCGGCAGGCCUAACACAUGCAAGUCGAGGGGUAGCAGGAUUAAGCUUGCUUAAUUGCUGACGACCGGCGCACGGGUGCGUAACGCGUAUGCAACCUACCUUAUACUGGGGUAUAGCCCGGAGAAAUUCGGAUUAAUCCCCCAUAGUACUGUUUUACCGCAUGGUAAGACAGUUAAAGCAUUGCGGUAUAAGAUGGGCAUGCGUCCUAUUAGCUAGAUGGUGAGGUAACGGCUCACCAUGGCUACGAUAGGUAGGGGGCCUGAGAGGGUGGUCCCCCACACUGGUACUGAGACACGGACCAGACUCCUACGGGAGGCAGCAGUGAGGAAUAUUGGUCAAUGGGCGCAAGCCUGAACCAGCCAUGCCGCGUGCAGGAAGAAUGCCCUAUGGGUUGUAAACUGCUUUUAUUUGGGAAUAAACCUCUUUACGUGUAGAGAGCUGAAGGUACCAAAUGAAUAAGCACCGGCUAACUCCGUGCCAGCAG
This 514-nucleotide ribosomal RNA is filed under the name uncultured freshwater bacterium. Its description in RNAcentral is "bacterial SSU rRNA". It matches the Rfam family "Bacterial small subunit ribosomal RNA", at positions 8 to 514 of the family's 1533-position model. The record is from RNAcentral.